GUCCACGCCCUAAACGAUGUCAACUGGUUGUUGGGAAUUUAUUUUCUCAGUAACGAAGCUAACGCGUGAAGUUGACCGCCUGGGGGAGUACGGCCGCAAGGUUAAAACUCAAAGGAAUUGACGGGGACCCGCACAAGCGGUGGAUGAUGUGGUUUAAUUCGAUGCAACGCGAAAAACCUUACCCACCUUUGACAUGUACGGAAUCCUUUAGAGAUAGAGGAGUGCUCGAAAGAGAACCGUAACACAGGUGCUGCAUGGCUGUCGU
This 265-nucleotide ribosomal RNA is filed under the name uncultured bacterium. Its description in RNAcentral is "partial 16S ribosomal RNA". It matches the Rfam family "Bacterial small subunit ribosomal RNA", at positions 793 to 1055 of the family's 1533-position model. The record is from RNAcentral.